AGCGAACGCUGGCGGCAGGCCUAAUACAUGCAAGUCGAACGCACCUUCGGGUGAGUGGCGGACGGGUGAGUAACGCGUGGGAACGUGCCCUUUGGUUCGGAACAACACAGGGAAACUUGUGCUAAUACCGGAAUGUGCCCUUCGGGGAAAGAUUUAUCGCCAUUGGAGCGGCCCGCGUUGGAUUAGCUAGUUGGUGGGGUAAAGGCCCACCAAGGCUACGAUCCAUAGCUGGUCUGAGAGGANGAUCAGCCACACUGGGACUGAGA
Molecule: ribosomal RNA, 266 nt
Filed under: uncultured bacterium
Lineage: Bacteria
Description: partial 16S ribosomal RNA
Rfam family: Bacterial small subunit ribosomal RNA
Source: RNAcentral